This 25-nucleotide non-coding RNA is filed under the name Mus musculus (house mouse). The record is from RNAcentral. Lineage: Eukaryota; Metazoa; Chordata; Mammalia; Rodentia; Muridae.
UGCUGCCUCAUUGGAUUUUGUACAG